Long non-coding RNA from Herpailurus yagouaroundi (jaguarundi), 1520 nucleotides. RefSeq lists it as uncharacterized. The record is from RefSeq and is a predicted model, not a curated record. NCBI's taxonomy places the organism in Eukaryota, Metazoa, Chordata, Mammalia, Carnivora, Felidae. The transcript has 3 exons.
UCCUUGGGAGAAAAAAAUGUGAGCGCUCGCACGAUUCCUUUCUCUCCGCCCGCCGCUCGCGGCGGCACCGGGCUCGCUCCUUUCUCCCUCGCGCUCCCGCGCGCGCCGCGCCUCUCGCGCCCCGCGUUUCCUUCUCAGCAGCCCCUGCGAGCGCCCUCAGUAGCCAUUAUUCACGGGCCACCGGAGGACAGGAGCCCCCUUGGAGAAGAAUGGGGGAAGGGGAUGGAGAACAUCACGGCAAGAUGCAUCACAUGACUCAUCCGAGGUCACUCAACCAGGAGAACCCUCCCCAGCCCGGCCCCCGAGACGAGGCAGCUACAAGGGGCUUUCACCAGACAGACUGACAGGGCCAAGAGCCAGGUCCAGCCAGCCACAAGUAUGACGUCCCCCCGGCCCUGUUUCCAUACAUUUUUGUGGUGGGGAGGACUGCGGUCAACUUUCUUAGACAGUCCACACCACUCCCGAAACGCGUGACGAGGGACUCACCCCCAGCUGCUUCGCGUGAUGUGCCUCAGGUUUUGUCACCUUUAAAAUGGGAGACUGGCAGGGCCUGGGUUCUGUGUUGAGGAGGCAUGGAGAUGAGGACGUGAAAGUCAUUAUGGGGUUUGCCUCGUCGCGAACCCUUGAAAAAUGCCAGCUCUGAAGGCUGUUAGUCCCUCCUGGUCUACGGACAGAUGGGAGUUCUCGAUCGCUGGGAUAAGUAUCAAGUCUCAAUUUCACGGUGGUGGUCUGAACAUUUAAUUCGGAAAUCCUACUUGGCUGUGCUGCCGGGGCGAAGGCCCACCCGCACUUUGUCCCCCGUGCUGAAUGACCACUGACAUGUGCUCUGGGCUGCUAGUCCCCAAAUCCCUUCACAACCACCACCCACCCCACAACCAAGCAAGGGGCCCGGGGGCCCGGUGCCGCAGACCCAGACGCUGGGGCUCAGAGAGGGAGCUUAGGAGAAGUAGAAGCAACAGGAAGACAGAUUUCACCUCCAUAUAAGGAAGAGCUUGCUAACAGGCAGAGCUGCCCAGAAAUGGAAUGAGUGAACUGCCUUGGGAGGUGGUGAGCGACCCGUGGCUGAAGGCGUGCAAGGGAAAGAAGGAGGUCUCUGGGUGGAGACGGCACGCAGGCGGCUCAGACACUGGUUGGGGGAGGAGGCUGGGAGCUCUUGUCCUGUGACUUGACCAAGGCCAUGUGAGCAGGAAUGGAAUCCCAGAAGGUCAGAGCUGGGGGCCCGGACAAGCGCUCUCCUGCUCCGAACCUGUCACGUGAAAGCCCAGCGGACAGAGGCCUAGCCCUCCCCAUCAAUCCCCUGCCCACCUCCCACAUCGCAAAGCAUUUAUUUCUUAGAAGGAAAUACCUACUUUCAAUUUUGAAAGCUGGAAAGUAUACAAAAGUAGAAAGGAAAAACAAAACAAAACAAAACCCCGAAUCCCCCUCACCCUGCAACAAUUCCUGUUAAUAUUUCCUUCCACUCUUCUCCGUGGGCAUCUAUUUUGGUUAGAAGUCCUAGCAUGCGCUAGAAAUAUAUAUAU